Molecule: ribosomal RNA, 271 nt
Filed under: uncultured bacterium
Lineage: Bacteria
Description: partial 16S ribosomal RNA
Rfam family: Bacterial small subunit ribosomal RNA
Source: RNAcentral
UACAGAGGGUGCGAGCGUUAAUCGGAUUUACUGGGCGUAAAGCGUGCGUAGGCGGCUAUUUAAGUCGGAUGUGAAAGCCCUGGGCUUAACCUGGGAACUGCAUUCGAUACUGGGUAGCUGGAGAUCGGUAGAGGGCGGCGGAAUUCCGGGUGUAGCGGUGAAAUGCGUAGAUAUCUGGAGGAACACCAGUGGCGAAAGCGGCUCGCUGGCACGAUACUGACGCUCAUGCUCGAAAGCGUGGGGAGCGAACGGGAUUAGAAACCCGUGUAGU